AAUGAAAUGAAAAUGAUAAGGAAAUAGGGAGGGAGGGGUCCCUAUUUAUAAAAAGUGGGGACUGUUAGAUUUGUACCAAGUGGCAAAAUCUGGUGAGAAGAGAAAAAGUUAAUGGGAAAGGAGUGAUGUGAUGCGACACGAUGGUGGCACAAAAAAUAGAGGCACGGCUGCCAAACGACGGCAGCACACUACCCAAGAUAGCAGCGACACACUGCCCAAGCCAGC
This 225-nucleotide long non-coding RNA is filed under the name Carica papaya (papaya). RNAcentral's name for it is "long non-coding RNA (CPAP_LNC010194)". Lineage: Eukaryota; Viridiplantae; Streptophyta; Magnoliopsida; Brassicales; Caricaceae. The record is from RNAcentral.